GGUUAAGCGACUAAGCGUACACGGUGGAUGCCCUGGCAGUCAGAGGCGAUGAAGGGCGUGCUAAUCUGCGAUAAGCGCCGGUAAGGUGAUAUGAACCGUUAUAACCGGCGAUACCCGAAUGGGGAAACCCAGUGUGACUCGUCACACUAUCAUUAACUGAAUCCAUAGGUUAAUGAGGCGAACCGGGGGAACUGAAACAUCUAAGUACCCCGAGGAAAAGAAAUCAACCGAGAUUCCCCCAGUAGCGGCGAGCGAACGGGGAGGAGCCCAGAGCCUGAAUCAGCAUGUGUGUUAGUGGAAGCGUCUGGAAAGGCGCGCGAUACAGGGUGACAGCCCCGUACACAAAAGCGCAUGUGCUGUGAGCUCGAUGAGUAGGGCGGGACACGUGGUAUCCUGUCUGAAUAUGGGGGGACCAUCCUCCAAGGCUAAAUACUCCUGACUGACCGAUAGUGAACCAGUACCGUGAGGGAAAGGCGAAAAGAACCCCGGCGAGGGGAGUGAAAAAGAACCUGAAACCGUGUACGUACAAGCAGUGGGAGCACCCUUCGGGGUGUGACUGCGUACCUUUUGUAUAAUGGGUCAGCGACUUAUAUUCUGUAGCAAGGUUAACCGAAUAGGGGAGCCGUAGGGAAACCGAGUCUUAACCGGGCGUUAAGUUGCAGGGUAUAGACCCGAAACCCGGUGAUCUAGCCAUGGGCAGGUUGAAGGUUGGGUAACACUAACUGGAGGACCGAACCGACUAAUGUUGAAAAAUUAGCGGAUGACCUGUGGCUGGGGGUGAAAGGCCAAUCAAACCGGGAGAUAGCUGGUUCUCCCCGAAAGCUAUUUAGGUAGCGCCUCGUGAAUUCAUCUCCGGGGGUAGAGCACUGUUUCGGCUAGGGGGCCAUCCCGGCUUACCAACCCGAUGCAAACUGCGAAUACCGGAGAAUGUUAUCACGGGAGACACACGGCGGGUGCUAACGUCCGUCGUGAAGAGGGAAACAACCCAGACCGCCAGCUAAGGUCCCAAAGUCAUGGUUAAGUGGGAAACGAUGUGGGAAGGCCCAGACAGCCAGGAUGUUGGCUUAGAAGCAGCCAUCAUUUAAAGAAAGCGUAAUAGCUCACUGGUCGAGUCGGCCUGCGCGGAAGAUGUAACGGGGCUAAACCAUGCACCGAAGCUGCGGCAGCGACGCUUAUGCGUUGUUGGGUAGGGGAGCGUUCUGUAAGCCUGUGAAGGUGGCCUGUGAGGGUUGCUGGAGGUAUCAGAAGUGCGAAUGCUGACAUAAGUAACGAUAAAGCGGGUGAAAAGCCCGCUCGCCGGAAGACCAAGGGUUCCUGUCCAACGUUAAUCGGGGCAGGGUGAGUCGACCCCUAAGGCGAGGCCGAAAGGCGUAGUCGAUGGGAAACGGGUUAAUAUUCCCGUACUUGGUGUUACUGCGAAGGGGGGACGGAGAAGGCUAUGUUGGCCGGGCGACGGUUGUCCCGGUUUAAGCGUGUAGGCUGGUUUUCCAGGCAAAUCCGGAAAAUCAAGGCUGAGGCGUGACGACGAGGCACUACGGUGCUGAAGCAACAAAUGCCCUGCUUCCAGGAAAAGCCUCUAAGCAUCAGGUAACAUCAAAUCGUACCCCAAACCGACACAGGUGGUCAGGUAGAGAAUACCAAGGCGCUUGAGAGAACUCGGGUGAAGGAACUAGGCAAAAUGGUGCCGUAACUUCGGGAGAAGGCACGCUGACACGUAGGUGAAGUGAUUUACUCAUGGAGCUGAAGUCAGUCGAAGAUACCAGCUGGCUGCAACUGUUUAUUAAAAACACAGCACUGUGCAAACACGAAAGUGGACGUAUACGGUGUGACGCCUGCCCGGUGCCGGAAGGUUAAUUGAUGGGGUCAGCGCAAGCGAAGCUCCUGAUCGAAGCCCCGGUAAACGGCGGCCGUAACUAUAACGGUCCUAAGGUAGCGAAAUUCCUUGUCGGGUAAGUUCCGACCUGCACGAAUGGCGUAAUGAUGGCCAGGCUGUCUCCACCCGAGACUCAGUGAAAUUGAACUCGCUGUGAAGAUGCAGUGUACCCGCGGCAAGACGGAAAGACCCCGUGAACCUUUACUAUAGCUUGACACUGAACAUUGAGCCUUGAUGUGUAGGAUAGGUGGGAGGCUUUGAAGCGUGGACGCCAGUCUGCGUGGAGCCGACCUUGAAAUACCACCCUUUAAUGUUUGAUGUUCUAACGUGGACCCGUAAUCCGGGUUGCGGACAGUGUCUGGUGGGUAGUUUGACUGGGGCGGUCUCCUCCUAAAGAGUAACGGAGGAGCACGAAGGUUGGCUAAUCCUGGUCGGACAUCAGGAGGUUAGUGCAAUGGCAUAAGCCAGCUUGACUGCGAGCGUGACGGCGCGAGCAGGUGCGAAAGCAGGUCAUAGUGAUCCGGUGGUUCUGAAUGGAAGGGCCAUCGCUCAACGGAUAAAAGGUACUCCGGGGAUAACAGGCUGAUACCGCCCAAGAGUUCAUAUCGACGGCGGUGUUUGGCACCUCGAUGUCGGCUCAUCACAUCCUGGGGCUGAAGUAGGUCCCAAGGGUAUGGCUGUUCGCCAUUUAAAGUGGUACGCGAGCUGGGUUUAGAACGUCGUGAGACAGUUCGGUCCCUAUCUGCCGUGGGCGCUGGAGAACUGAGGGGGGCUGCUCCUAGUACGAGAGGACCGGAGUGGACGCAUCACUGGUGUUCGGGUUGUCAUGCCAAUGGCACUGCCCGGUAGCUAAAUGCGGAAGAGAUAAGUGCUGAAAGCAUCUAAGCACGAAACUUGCCCCGAGAUGAGUUCUCCCUGAGACUUUAGGUCUCCUGAAGGAACGUUGAAGACGACGACGUUGAUAGGCCGGGUGUGUAAGCGCAGCGAUGCGUUGAGCUAACCGGUACUAAUGAACCGUGAGGCUUAACCUU
This 2904-nucleotide ribosomal RNA is filed under the name Salmonella enterica. RNAcentral's name for it is "23S ribosomal RNA". It matches the Rfam family "Bacterial large subunit ribosomal RNA". The record is from RNAcentral. Lineage: Bacteria; Pseudomonadati; Pseudomonadota; Gammaproteobacteria; Enterobacterales; Enterobacteriaceae. RNAcentral also lists the same sequence under 2 other names.